Long non-coding RNA from Xiphophorus hellerii (green swordtail), 133 nucleotides. RefSeq lists it as uncharacterized. The transcript has 3 exons. NCBI's taxonomy places the organism in Eukaryota, Metazoa, Chordata, Actinopteri, Cyprinodontiformes, Poeciliidae. The record is from RefSeq and is a predicted model, not a curated record.
CAAGACUCAGGAGGUCAACCCGGAUGGGACACUUCCCCAAGGUUCCCGCUCUGCCUCCAGCGUCCACCAAGGUACUUGCUCCGCUGCCAGUGUCCCCCAAGGUUCCCGCUCUGCCUCCAGCGUCCACCAAGGU